This 495-nucleotide ribosomal RNA is filed under the name uncultured bacterium. Its description in RNAcentral is "partial 16S ribosomal RNA". It matches the Rfam family "Bacterial small subunit ribosomal RNA", at positions 30 to 507 of the family's 1533-position model. The record is from RNAcentral.
UGAACGCUGGCGGCGUGCCUAAUACAUGCAAGUCGAGCGACCAGACGAGGAGCUUGCUCCUCUGCCGUUAGCGGCGGACGGGUGAGUAACACGUGGAUAACCUACCUAUAAGACUGGGAUAACUUCGGGAAACCGGAGCUAAUACCGGAUAAUAUAUUGAACCGCAUGGUUCAAUAGUGAAAGACGGUUUUGCUGUCACUUAUAGAUGGAUCCGCGCCGCAUUAGCUAGUUGGUAAGGUAACGGCUUACCAAGGCGACGAUGCGUAGCCGACCUGAGAGGGUGAUCGGCCACACUGGAACUGAGACACGGUCCAGACUCCUACGGGAGGCAGCAGUAGGGAAUCUUCCGCAAUGGGCGAAAGCCUGACGGAGCAACGCCGCGUGAGUGAUGAAGGUCUUCGGAUCGUAAAACUCUGUUAUUAGGGAAGAACAAAUGUGUAAGUAACUAUGCACGUCUUGACGGUACCUAAUCAGAAAGCCACGGCUAACUACGUG